RNAcentral lists this long non-coding RNA (1589 nucleotides) under Anas platyrhynchos platyrhynchos (common mallard). RNAcentral's name for it is "lncRNA (ENSAPLG00000021808.1)". Lineage: Eukaryota; Metazoa; Chordata; Aves; Anseriformes; Anatidae. The record is from RNAcentral.
GGCUCUGCCCAUCCCCACAUCCCCACUGGCUGCUUUACCCAUGCUUGGCUUUAUCUCCUGAGCUGCGUGCUUCCUUCCUACGUUUAACACUUAGGCGAAAAUCAAGAGCUAUUUCGGAAACAUCCUGAGACUGGAGGUGACGGAGAAGUGGGAGAAGGAGGUUCACCCAGAGGUGGAGGACAACCUGUACCACUCCUCGCUCUCCUUCGACAUACAAACGAUCAUUGGGGAGCACAUGAAGAUUUCUGGAGCCAUCAGCAAAAGCCUGAAAGCAAAAACACUGGAGCUGUGCCUGGCUGAAUUGCACGAAUUCAUACCAAGGUUUGGGGAGGAGUUCAUGGAGUGGCACGCAGCCCGCGACAGCCCCGUGUUCGUGCCCUACUUCGCUGCCUACACCAACAGCUUCCACCACCUGGUGUCAGGCUUGGAAACAGUGUUUAAAGUCAACACUGAGGAACUGCAAAAGAUUUUGGCUUCUCUGACAAAGAACUUCAGAAACAUGUUUCUAAAUAAAUUGAGAACAAAAACACAGGUAAGAGGAUCAAAGCCCCACUAUUCCCCCUACAUAAGGAGUAUGUGCAGAAGCUGAGGGCCUUUGCCCUUUCCUUGUCUGUCCAGCUGGACCUCAUUGUGCAGCAAAUGAUGCUAGGGUCUCUCCAAAAUGUGUCGUGCCUGACUUAUACAAAUACUGCUUUAUCCAGAGUAACCCUUCCAGUACCCUGGGAGCUUUUCAUUAUGACCAUAUAUAUUUGUUCAGUACAAGAGCAACCAAAAGAAAAGGGUGUUCAGCGGCUUUCAGCUUUUGGGGCAAAGCAGAGUGGGAACUUCACCCAUAGUGGAGCACCAGGGAAGUCAGCUGGGCAACACCAAUGGGGCAUUUUUCCUUCUAUCAAGACAUCUGGAUUUGUCAGGACUUUGUCUUACACUUAUUUGUUCAUAGAUUUGUUAUCAUGCUCUGUUAUCAACCUCUGCCUAUAAGCUCUAUCACGGCCUCUUCAGACAGGCCAGGCUAUUUUCUGGCUGGGGUGAUUUUUCCAGUCAGUUUCCAUGGUGAAGAAAAAGAUAAUUCUUUCACCAUCAAGAUGAUGGAGCUCUGCUUUCUGCUGCUCUGGGCUAACUUGUGUUAAGAGGCCUAAAAGGCAAGGUGCUGCAAUGCAGUUUGUGCCUGCCGGGUGCUGUAGAUGGGGCUUUCUGCUCUCAGCUAGCCAGGGGUCUGCUGGCUCUAGCUGGAAUAACAAGAGAGAUUGGGGAAAUUAAGCCUUUAGUGCCACCACUUCCCACUCAUCUUAAUUCACUUUCCAAAACACCAAGUGUAACUUUCAGAAACCAAGGCAGUCACACAUCAAGAGCUGUCCUCUGACUGCAGAUAAGCCUGUCUGGCCAAGGGGACUUUCCAGUCGCUGCAGGGUUUAUGUCGGAGCCCUAGGGACAGGCAAGGAAGGAGACAAGCCAAGACAUUGUGCAAGAGAGCUGAAUUGCUGUGAGAACUGAGAGUGCCAGGGCACUUCUGAGCAGCCUUUCAGCAGGCUGGGAGCACAGCAGGAGGGCACGAGUUGGGAAAUAAUUGGGAAGGAGAGUGCCAGCAGGAG